AUUGAACGCUGGCGGCAUGCCUUACACAUGCAAGUCGAACGGUAACAGGUCUUCGGAUGCUGACGAGUGGCGGACGGGUGAGUAAUACAUCGGAACGUGCCCGAUCGUGGGGGAUAACGCAGCGAAAGCUGUGCUAAUACCGCAUACGAUCUACGGAUGAAAGCAGGGGAUCGCAAGACCUUGCGCGGACGGAGCGGCCGAUGGCAGAUUAGGUAGUUGGUGGGGUAAAGGCUCACCAAGCCUGCGAUCUGUAGCUGGUCUGAGAGGACGACCAGCCACACUGGGACUGAGACACGGCCCAGACUCCUACGGGAGGCAGCAGUGGGGAAUUUUGGACAAUGGGCGCAAGCCUGAUCCAGCCAUGCCGCGUGCAGGAUGAAGGCCUUCGGGUUGUAAACUGCUUUUGUACGGAACGAAAAGACUCUGGUUAAUACCUGGGGUCCAUGACGGUACCGUAAGAAUAAGCACCGGCUAACUACGUGCCAGCAGCCGCCGUAA
RNAcentral lists this ribosomal RNA (498 nucleotides) under uncultured bacterium. RNAcentral describes it as "partial 16S ribosomal RNA". It matches the Rfam family "Bacterial small subunit ribosomal RNA", at positions 30 to 523 of the family's 1533-position model. The record is from RNAcentral.